GAUGAAUGCUGGCGGCGUGCCUAACACAUGCAAGUCGAGCGGCAGCGCGGUCUUCGGACUGGCGGCGAGCGGCGGACGGCUGAGUAACGCGUGGGAACAUGCCCCAAAGUGAGGGAUCACCGCCCGAAAGGGUGGCUAAUACCGCAUACGAUCUUCGGAUUAAAGGAUUUAUCCGCUUUGGGAGUGGCCUGCGUACGAUUAGAUUGUUGGUGAGGUAAUGGCUCACCAAGUCGACGAUCGUUAACUGGUCUGAGAGGAUGAUCAGUCAGACUGGAACUGAGACACGGUCCAGACUCCUACGGGAGGCAGCAGUGAGGAAUCUUCCACAAUGGGCGAAAGCCUGAUGGAGCAACGCCGCGUGCAGGAUGAAGGCCUUCGGGUCGUAAACUGCUUUUAUAAGUGAAGAAUAUGACGGUAACUUAUGAAUAAGCACCGGCUAACUACGUGCCAGCAGCCGCCGUA
RNAcentral lists this ribosomal RNA (462 nucleotides) under uncultured bacterium. RNAcentral describes it as "partial 16S ribosomal RNA". It matches the Rfam family "Bacterial small subunit ribosomal RNA", at positions 28 to 522 of the family's 1533-position model. The record is from RNAcentral.